UGUCAAGGGAUGGGAAUCGAACCCACGACCUCCGCUUAACGGGCAGAUGCCAUGACCACUAGGCUACCCUGGAC
Molecule: transfer RNA, 74 nt
Filed under: Cordylochernes scorpioides
Lineage: Eukaryota; Metazoa; Arthropoda; Arachnida; Pseudoscorpiones; Chernetidae
Description: tRNA-Asn
Source: RNAcentral